AUUUAAUAACAAUUAAAUAAAUAAAUGGAAUAUGAAGAGUGGAAGGGUAAAAGUGGAAUUGGGAUAAAAAGAGGCCAAAGUGAGAACUUAGGGUGUUUUCACGUAUUGUUGCCUCAGAGUCAGAAAAAGGGAGAAACGCUGAAGAGAAAGAGAAGGAAGAGGGAAAGGCCAAAGAUUGCUCAGAGCUUCCUUCAAUCCAAAGAGGUAAGGGGUCUGAAC
This 219-nucleotide long non-coding RNA is filed under the name Lathyrus oleraceus (garden pea). RNAcentral describes it as "Pisum sativum (pea) long non-coding RNA (PSAT_LNC004001)". Lineage: Eukaryota; Viridiplantae; Streptophyta; Magnoliopsida; Fabales; Fabaceae. The record is from RNAcentral.